Molecule: ribosomal RNA, 587 nt
Filed under: uncultured bacterium
Lineage: Bacteria
Description: partial 16S ribosomal RNA
Rfam family: Bacterial small subunit ribosomal RNA
Source: RNAcentral
UGGGGAAUUUUGGACAAUGGGCGAAAGCCUGAUCCAGCAAUGCCGCGUGUGUGAAGAAGGCCUUCGGGUUGUAAAGCACUUUUGUCCGGAAAGAAAUCCUUGGCUCUAAUACAGUCGGGGGAUGACGGUACCGGAAGAAUAAGCACCGGCUAACUACGUGCCAGCAGCCGCGGUAAUACGUAGGGUGCAAGCGUUAAUCGGAAUUACUGGGCGUAAAGCGUGCGCAGGCGGUUUGCUAAGACCGAUGUGAAAUCCCCGGGCUCAACCUGGGAACUGCAUUGGUGACUGGCAGGCUAGAGUAUGGCAGAGGGGGGUUAGAAUUCCACGUGUAGCAGUGAAAUGCGUAGAGAUGUGGAGGAAUACCGAUGGCGAAGGCAGCCCCCUGGGCCAAUACUGACGCUCAUGCACGAAAGCGUGGGGAGCAAACAGGAUUAGAUACCCUGGUAGUCCACGCCCUAAACGAUGUCAACUAGUUGUUGGGGAUUCAUUUUCCUUAGUAACGUAGCUAACGCGUGAAGUUGACCGCCUGGGGAGUACGGUCGCAAGAUUAAAACUCAAAUGAAUUGACGGGGUCAUAGCUGUUUCCU